CACUCCUGCGGGAGGCAGCAGUGGGGAAUUUUGGACAAUGGGCGCAAGCCUGAUCCAGCCAUGCCGCGUGCGGGAAGAAGGCCUUCGGGUUGUAAACCGCUUUUGUCAGGGAAGAAAAGGUUCUGGCUAAUACCUGGGACUCAUGACGGUACCUGAAGAAUAAGCACCGGCUAACUACGUGCCAGCAGCCGCGGUAAUACGUAGGGUGCAAGCGUUAAUCGGAAUUACUGGGCGUAAAGCGUGCGCAGGCGGUUAUGCAAGACAGAGGUGAAAUCCCCGGGCUCAACCUGGGAACUGCCUUUGGGACUGCAUGGCUAGAGUACGGUAGAGGGGGAUGGAAUUCCGCGUGUAGCAGUGAAAUGCGUAGAUAUGCGGAGGAACACCGAUGGCGAAGGCAAUCCCCUGGACCUGUACUGACGCUCAUGCACGAAAGCGUGGGUAGCAAACAGGAUUAGAUACCCCUGUAGUCCC
RNAcentral lists this ribosomal RNA (471 nucleotides) under uncultured organism. Its description in RNAcentral is "partial 16S ribosomal RNA". It matches the Rfam family "Bacterial small subunit ribosomal RNA", at positions 334 to 797 of the family's 1533-position model. The record is from RNAcentral.